CAGGAAAUAGUUUAUUUAUUAAAAUGUUAAUUUUGGGGAUUAAUGAAGAGAGGAAUCUUUUUUCUGA
Molecule: transfer RNA, 67 nt
Filed under: Svistella anhuiensis
Lineage: Eukaryota; Metazoa; Arthropoda; Insecta; Orthoptera; Trigonidiidae
Description: tRNA-Pro
Source: RNAcentral